AGUUUGAUCCUGGCUCAGAAUCAACGCUGGCGGCGUGCCUCAGACAUGCAAGUCGAACGAUUAAGACUCUCUUCGGAGAGUGUAUAAAGUGGCGCACGGGUGAGUAACACGUAGGUAAUGUACCGAAGGGUGGGGAAUAACUUAGGGAAACUUAAGCUAAUACCGCAUAAUGCAGCGGCUCGACAUCGAGACAGUUGUUAAAGGAGCAAUCCGCCUUUUGAGCAGCCUGCGGCAGAUUAGCUAGUUGGUAAGGUAAUGGCUUACCAAGGCUACGAUCUGUAACCGACCUGAGAGGGUGGUCGGUCACACUGACACUGAAUAACGGGUCAGACUCCUACGGGAGGCAGCAGUCGGGAAUUUUGGGCAAUGGGCGAAAGCCUGACCCAGCAACGCCGCGUGAAGGAUGAAGUAUUUCGGUAUGUAAACUUCGUAAGAAUAGGAAGAAUAAAUGACGGUACUAUUUGUAAGGUCCGGCUAACUACGUG
Molecule: ribosomal RNA, 485 nt
Filed under: uncultured bacterium
Lineage: Bacteria
Description: bacterial SSU rRNA
Rfam family: Bacterial small subunit ribosomal RNA
Source: RNAcentral